Molecule: ribosomal RNA, 1542 nt
Filed under: Escherichia coli
Lineage: Bacteria; Pseudomonadati; Pseudomonadota; Gammaproteobacteria; Enterobacterales; Enterobacteriaceae
Also listed under: 1 other name
Description: bacterial SSU rRNA
Rfam family: Bacterial small subunit ribosomal RNA
Source: RNAcentral
AAAUUGAAGAGUUUGAUCAUGGCUCAGAUUGAACGCUGGCGGCAGGCCUAACACAUGCAAGUCGAACGGUAACAGGAAGCAGCUUGCUGCUUCGCUGACGAGUGGCGGACGGGUGAGUAAUGUCUGGGAAACUGCCUGAUGGAGGGGGAUAACUACUGGAAACGGUAGCUAAUACCGCAUAAUGUCGCAAGACCAAAGAGGGGGACCUUCGGGCCUCUUGCCAUCGGAUGUGCCCAGAUGGGAUUAGCUUGUUGGUGGGGUAACGGCUCACCAAGGCGACGAUCCCUAGCUGGUCUGAGAGGAUGACCAGCCACACUGGAACUGAGACACGGCCCAGACUCCUACGGGAGGCAGCAGUGGGGAAUAUUGCACAAUGGGCGCAAGCCUGAUGCAGCCAUGCCGCGUGUAUGAAGAAGGCCUUCGGGUUGUAAAGUACUUUCAGCGGGGAGGAAGGGAGUAAAGUUAAUACCUUUGCUCAUUGACGUUACCCGCAGAAGAAGCACCGGCUAACUCCGUGCCAGCAGCCGCGGUAAUACGGAGGGUGCAAGCGUUAAUCGGAAUUACUGGGCGUAAAGCGCACGCAGGCGGUUUGUUAAGUCAGAUGUGAAAUCCCCGGGCUCAACCUGGGAACUGCAUCUGAUACUGGCAAGCUUGAGUCUCGUAGAGGGGGGUAGAAUUCCAGGUGUAGCGGUGAAAUGCGUAGAGAUCUGGAGGAAUACCGGUGGCGAAGGCGGCCCCCUGGACGAAGACUGACGCUCAGGUGCGAAAGCGUGGGGAGCAAACAGGAUUAGAUACCCUGGUAGUCCACGCCGUAAACGAUGUCGACUUGGAGGUUGUGCCCUUGAGGCGUGGCUUCCGGAGCUAACGCGUUAAGUCGACCGCCUGGGGAGUACGGCCGCAAGGUUAAAACUCAAAUGAAUUGACGGGGGCCCGCACAAGCGGUGGAGCAUGUGGUUUAAUUCGAUGCAACGCGAAGAACCUUACCUGGUCUUGACAUCCACGGAAGUUUUCAGAGAUGAGAAUGUGCCUUCGGGAACCGUGAGACAGGUGCUGCAUGGCUGUCGUCAGCUCGUGUUGUGAAAUGUUGGGUUAAGUCCCGCAACGAGCGCAACCCUUAUCCUUUGUUGCCAGCGGUCCGGCCGGGAACUCAAAGGAGACUGCCAGUGAUAAACUGGAGGAAGGUGGGGAUGACGUCAAGUCAUCAUGGCCCUUACGACCAGGGCUACACACGUGCUACAAUGGCGCAUACAAAGAGAAGCGACCUCGCGAGAGCAAGCGGACCUCAUAAAGUGCGUCGUAGUCCGGAUUGGAGUCUGCAACUCGACUCCAUGAAGUCGGAAUCGCUAGUAAUCGUGGAUCAGAAUGCCACGGUGAAUACGUUCCCGGGCCUUGUACACACCGCCCGUCACACCAUGGGAGUGGGUUGCAAAAGAAGUAGGUAGCUUAACCUUCGGGAGGGCGCUUACCACUUUGUGAUUCAUGACUGGGGUGAAGUCGUAACAAGGUAACCGUAGGGGAACCUGCGGUUGGAUCACCUCCUUA